CACUGGUUUUUGAAUAUCCUGCCUGGUUUUUGGAAUAUCUCUUUUACUGAAUCAUCUACCGCUGUGCAUACUGGGAGAGUUACAAAGGAUGUUUCCCAGGGAUGACCAAAAAAAGUCUCAGUGUAACCCCAGCAAUGGACCUACUAGAAUACUGUGAACUGGAAUGGAAAGGAAUGACACCUCAUGCUGAUCAAAUAAGGAAGGCCUAUGGAGAAAUCUACAGGGUACAUAAUAUCAGGUACAUUUCGUGGAGAC
Molecule: long non-coding RNA, 255 nt
Organism: Acipenser ruthenus (sterlet)
Lineage: Eukaryota; Metazoa; Chordata; Actinopteri; Acipenseriformes; Acipenseridae
Exons: 4
Source: RefSeq, a predicted model, not a curated record